RNAcentral lists this ribosomal RNA (253 nucleotides) under uncultured Dyadobacter sp. RNAcentral's name for it is "partial 16S ribosomal RNA". It matches the Rfam family "Bacterial small subunit ribosomal RNA", at positions 524 to 776 of the family's 1533-position model. Lineage: Bacteria; Pseudomonadati; Bacteroidota; Cytophagia; Cytophagales; Spirosomataceae. The record is from RNAcentral.
UACGGAGGGUGCGAGCGUUGUCCGGAUUUAUUGGGUUUAAAGGGUGCGUAGGUGGCUUUAUAAGUCAGUGGUGAAAUACGGUUGCUCAACAAUCGAGGUGCCAUUGAUACUGCAAAGCUUGAAAUAAUUGGAGGCUGCCGGAAUGGAUGGUGUAGCGGUGAAAUGCAUAGAUAUCAUCCAGAACACCGAUUGCGAAGGCAGGUGGCUACGAUUUGUUUGACACUGAGGCACGAAAGCAUGGGGAGCAAACAGG